Long non-coding RNA from Chenopodium quinoa (quinoa), 2065 nucleotides. RefSeq lists it as uncharacterized. NCBI's taxonomy places the organism in Eukaryota, Viridiplantae, Streptophyta, Magnoliopsida, Caryophyllales, Amaranthaceae. The record is from RefSeq and is a predicted model, not a curated record. The transcript is spliced from 3 exons.
AGCCAAAAACACUACUAAUUAUGACCAAGGGACGGGGGUAAAUUACUAUAUAAAAUGGACAUAUCAGAUUUCUUAUGGUGUUAGGAGAGGGGCAACCCAACAAAAAAUUGUGGUUAACCUGCUAGACAGAACUUGCAGUUACAUGACUUGGCAAGUUAGUGGUAUACCUUGCAAGCAUGCUGUUGUUGCAAUUUGGAGCAAGGUGGAUGAACCCGAGCCGUAUGUAAUUUAUUACGUCACAAAGACUACCUAUUUGAAAACUUAUGAUUAUUUACUUGAACCUCUGAAUGGUCCAAAAGAAUGGCCAAGGUCUAAUGAUGUUGUUAUCCCUCCCAAACUGAAAAAAGUUCAACAUAGACCUAACGUUAAGAGAAGAUUGCACCAGGGAAACGAAGGAAGAAAGGUGUUUCCGUGCACUGCAGCCUAUGAGGGAUGUAAGGACAUAAUAAAAAAGGUUUCAAGAAUGUCUCUGAAGGUCCAAGCAACAACAGAUCUCAGUCUAACUUAGCCCUGAUAACAUACAACAGCCAUAGAUGUAGGGCCAUGAUGUAGGAACAAUCCUAUUACCAUGCACAUGAGAGGGAUGGGAUCAUAUACCUACCCUAAUGGCUAUCAAAGAAUUGCAACAAUAAGUUACUUUGUUUGAAGCAAUUGUAAUGCCAUAUAAUCCUAAACUACAUAUCUAAUGUCACUAAUAUAUAUACUGAUAUGCAGCCUGUUCAAAGAGCUUACUACAGGGACAAUGGGGGUGGUGAACAAACAGUGUACUGUGUCAUCCAAGAUGAGUACCCAUCAUCAAGCUAGCCUUCCCAAACUCAAAACACAAUAUCAAGUCAGGCAUUGCAGGACAUGGCAAGGGAAAGGAGGCAUCACAAGCACUAGGAGCAGCAACAUGGACAAACAGCUCAGAUUAGUUGUGCAGAAAUAAUGGAUGUAAUGGAGUAUAUAUACAACUGCUGCCUUUUUUUUUUUGAUUUUUUUUAUCAAACAAUAUUUUGUAAUGGCUACUUUUUAGGAACAAAAAAAAAUAGAGAUUUCUAAAUAAAGUUUAGGGAGCUUUUAAAAAGUUUAGGGAGCUCUUAUAAAGUAUAGGGAGUUCUUGUAUUUUACCUGAUGUAGUUUGUCAAAACUAUCCAUAGUGAGAGAUUUGCAAUUUUUGAAAGUUUAGUGAGUGAUCUGUAACUUUGUGCUAAGUUUAAGGAGUGAUUGUGUAGUUUAAUCUGUUACUUGUGCAGGUUUUGUACAACUUUUUAAAUUUUUUUUAUGUAAUAAAAAAAAUAUGCAAAAUGCGGCAAUAGUUGUACUAGUUUAUGUCAUUUUAUGCAGGCAUAAAUAGCUCUAUUUACAAAAAUUGUGUCUUAUACUCUUAUUUCAAAACACUUAUUGCAAUAGUCCAAACUAAAAAUCGCAUUUCUUACCUAAGAGUUAGCUCUUAUAUUUUCUCUCUCCUUAAGAACUACCUAAGAAACCCCCAUUAUUAAUGCUUUUAUUGACAAAGUAUUACAAUGGACUCUAGGUCACGAGUUCAAUACACUCCAUCUAUAUUUAGGCUUCAUUUUUUUGAACGAGAAGCAAUAAUAUCAUUAAAUAAUAGUCAUACGACAUCUACAAUAAUAAAGUCUAUAAAACACAGAUUUAGAUAAAAUAUCACAACUUUUACAAUCAAAAUCAUAACUAAUUUGUAUAUUUGGCAUAACUCAUACUCCACCGCUUUAAGCUUGACUCGAGCAAUGAUUUUUGAUGUGUUUGCAUCUUUCCCAGUAGAGACUUUCACAUUAUAUGUUAAUAUUUUGAUCGAAAAGUUGAUGACAAAUCCUAGACCCAUAGGAAUCCAAAUCACCUUUCGACUUAUUAUAAGAACCCUAAAAAUAAAUUCUCGUCUACGGAUAAGAAUCAAAAUCCAGAAAAUUGGGAAAAACCCAGAACAUUGGGACAUAUAUACUAUCUCAUAUGGAACAGUGAGAACAAAAAAAAAAAUAAAUAAAAAAAAAAAGAAUUGAUUUAAAGAAAAAAGGUCGGAAAUAAUCUUAUUUCUAAAGAAAUCAGACUAUUUCAGGCUAAAACG